GACGAACGCUGGCGGCGUGCUUAACACAUGCAAGUCGAACGGAAAGGCCCAGCUUGCUGGGUACUCGAGUGGCGAACGGGUGAGUAACACGUGGGUGAUCUGCCCCUGACUUUGGGAUAAGCCUGGGAAACUGGGUCUAAUACCGGAUAUGACCUUACAUCGCAUGGUGUUUGGUGGAAAGCUUUUGCGGUUGGGGAUGGGCCCGCGGCCUAUCAGCUUGUUGGUGGGGUAAUGGCCUACCAAGGCGACGACGGGUAGCCGACCUGAGAGGGUGAUCGGCCACACUGGGACUGAGACACGGCCCAGACUCCUACGGGAGGCAGCAGUGGGGAAUAUUGCACAAUGGGCGCAAGCCUGAUGCAGCGACGCCGCGUGAGGGAUGACGGCCUUCGGGAUGUAAACCUCUUUCACCAGGGACGAAGCGUGAGUGACGGUACCUGGAGAAGAAGCACCGGCCAACUACGUG
RNAcentral lists this ribosomal RNA (466 nucleotides) under uncultured bacterium. Its description in RNAcentral is "partial 16S ribosomal RNA". It matches the Rfam family "Bacterial small subunit ribosomal RNA", at positions 28 to 507 of the family's 1533-position model. The record is from RNAcentral.